ACUCCGGUAGCUCAGUUGGACAGAGCGGCGGAUUCCUAAUCCGCAGGUCGUGGGUUCAACUCCCGCCCGGGGUACCA
This 77-nucleotide transfer RNA is filed under the name Lentisphaerota bacterium. RNAcentral describes it as "Lentisphaerae bacterium (anaerobic digester metagenome) tRNA-Arg". It matches the Rfam family "tRNA". From Rfam's summary of the family: Transfer RNA (tRNA) molecules are approximately 80 nucleotides in length. Their secondary structure includes four short double-helical elements and three loops (D, anti-codon, and T loops). Further hydrogen bonds mediate the characteristic L-shaped molecular structure. tRNAs have two regions of fundamental functional importance: the anti-codon, which is responsible for specific mRNA codon recognition, and the 3' end, to which the tRNAs corresponding amino acid is attached (by aminoacyl-tRNA synthetases). tRNAs cope with the degeneracy of the genetic code in two manners: having more than one tRNA (with a specific anti-codon) for a particular amino acid; and 'wobble' base-pairing, i.e. permitting non-standard base-pairing at the 3rd anti-codon position. The record is from RNAcentral. Lineage: Bacteria; Pseudomonadati; Lentisphaerota.